ACGCACAAGCAGAAGCACCCGCUUCUCACCUUUCGGCUCAGGCUGGCUGGUUCGCGAUAAUCGAUUAGUCAUUCCAUCAUUUCAACUGAAGUGAUGCUCUGACAUACAUGUACGGUUAUGAGAUGCGGGUUCGAGCGAACCCGCAUUUUUUUAUUGCG
This is a non-coding RNA of Paenibacillus sp. FSL A5-0031, 158 nucleotides long. NCBI's taxonomy places the organism in Bacteria, Bacillati, Bacillota, Bacilli, Caryophanales, Paenibacillaceae. The record is from Rfam.